This 164-nucleotide small nuclear RNA is filed under the name Zea mays. Its description in RNAcentral is "U2 spliceosomal RNA". It matches the Rfam family "U2 spliceosomal RNA". Rfam says of the family: U2 is a small nuclear RNA (snRNA) component of the spliceosome (involved in pre-mRNA splicing). Complementary binding between U2 snRNA (in an area lying towards the 5' end but 3' to hairpin I) and the branchpoint sequence (BPS) of the intron results the bulging out of an unpaired adenosine, on the BPS, which initiates a nucleophilic attack at the intronic 5' splice site, thus starting the first of two transesterification reactions that mediate splicing. The record is from Rfam by way of RNAcentral. Lineage: Eukaryota; Viridiplantae; Streptophyta; Magnoliopsida; Poales; Poaceae.
AUACCUUUCUCAGCUUUUUGGAUAAGAUAAAGUGUAAUAUUUUUUUCUUAUUAAUUUAAUAUUUGAUACGUGGAUCACAUAUUUACUUUGAUAUUGAAUUUAUUUUUUAUGUGUAUCAAGUAUGAUUGUGUGCCGUCGCAACGUACAUACAUUAUACCAGUGUA